RNAcentral lists this ribosomal RNA (392 nucleotides) under uncultured bacterium. RNAcentral describes it as "partial 16S ribosomal RNA". It matches the Rfam family "Bacterial small subunit ribosomal RNA", at positions 523 to 918 of the family's 1533-position model. The record is from RNAcentral.
AUACGGAGGAUCCGAGCGUUAUCCGGAUUUAUUGGGUUUAAAGGGUGCGCAGGCGGCCAUUUAAGUCAGCGGUUAAAUCGUGGGGCUCAACCCCAUUCUGCCGUUGAUACUGGGUGGCUUGAUUGCGGUCGAGGUUGGCGGAAUUCGUUGUGUAGCGGUGAAAUGCAUAGAUAUGACGAAGAACACCGAUUGCGUAGGCAGCUGACCAGAUCGCAAAUGACGCUCAUGCACGAAAGUGCGGGGAUCGAACAGGAUUAGAUACCCUGGUAGUCCGCACAGUAAACGAUGAAUACUUGUUUUCGGCGAUAUAAUGACGGAGGCAAAGCGAAAGCGAUAAGUAUUCCACCUGGGGAGUACGCCGGCAACGGUGAAACUCAAAUGAAUUGGCGGGG